AACGGCCGUACCAUGCUGAAUAUACCGGUUCUCGUUAGAUCACCGAAGUCAAGCAUCAUUGGGCGCGGUCAGUACUUGGGUGAGGGACUACCUGGGAACACUGCGUGCCGUUG
RNAcentral lists this ribosomal RNA (113 nucleotides) under Caerostris darwini. Lineage: Eukaryota; Metazoa; Arthropoda; Arachnida; Araneae; Araneidae. The record is from RNAcentral.